This 422-nucleotide ribosomal RNA is filed under the name Fusobacteriota bacterium. RNAcentral's name for it is "Fusobacteria bacterium partial 16S ribosomal RNA". It matches the Rfam family "Bacterial small subunit ribosomal RNA", at positions 355 to 776 of the family's 1533-position model. The record is from RNAcentral. Lineage: Bacteria; Fusobacteriati; Fusobacteriota.
UGGGGGAUUUUGCACAAUGGGCGCAAGCCUGAUGCAGCGACGCCGCGUGAGGGAUGAAGGCCUUCGGGUUGUAAACCUCUUUCGCUGGGUUGAAAGGCCAGGCUUUGGGUGUGGUUGAUUUGAACUGGUAAAGAAGUACCGGCUAACUACGUGCCAGCAGCAGCGGUAAUACGUAGGGUACUAGCGUUGUCCGGAUUUAUUGGGCGUAAAGGGCUUGUAGGUGGUUUGUCGCGUCUGUCGUGAAAUCCUGUGGCUUAACCACGGGCUUGCGGCGGGUACCGGCAGGCUUGAGUGCGGUAGGGUAGACUGGAAUUCCUCGUGUAGCGGUGGAAUGCGCAGCUAUCAGGAGGAACACCGGUGGCGAAGGCGGGUCUCUGGGCCGUUACUGACACUGAGGAGCGAAAGCGUGGGGAGCGAACAGG